GCCACAACAACAAGAAGCUACAACAACAACUGUUCCAAUCAGGAAUGCUCUCUCCACCUUUCCUGGUGUCCUGUUUAACCUCAGGAGGACAUGGGCCCUUGGACUGUGCCUCGGGACUACCAGGCCCAAAUGACCCGUAGCUGUCCCUGUCCAAAGUACUCCUGGUUGUGUUGCAGAUCAAGUUGCUGCCUGAUGAUUCCUGCAGCCACAGCCCACACCCCACCUAAUUGUCCCUGUCCUAGUCCACCUUAGUUUAAGGACUCUGGACUCAGACCAUGCAUUUAUUAUCCUUUCAUCUGAGAAUUUAAGUAAUUGAUGGGGCCUAAAAGGUAUUACUCAUGAUGUUCACCCAGCACAGCAAGAAUAGGACUGGCCACCGUUCAGUCUUCUUUCCCAACCCAACUAGAGAGUUCUUCCAAGCCACUGUGCAUCAACUCAGUUGUUGCUUGCUCUUUUGGGUUUCAGGCUAGGUAACUGCUGAUUUGAUUGAUUUAAUUUGGUCUUGUAGAGCGUCCUUGUCAUUUGUUGAAUGAUUCAAUAGGUCCACCUAUUACCUGAGUCCACCCCUUCCCACACUGCAAAAAAUAAAUUCCAUAAAAUAUGCGUGAAAGUAAUCCAAAAUAUUUUAGCGGGAAAGUAGUCCUACUACUUCAACACCAUUCUUUCCACUGCUUGGGAGGAAAUAAGAUUUAAUCUUAAAUGGGGGUGACAUCCUACACUAUAUGCCACAGUAAUUUAACUGGUAGCUAUUGGACGUCAGUGGUUCAUGGUUAGCUAUUAAGUUAGUUAGCAAAGUCAAACUAUAAGUAAUCUUAAAGGUGUAGAAAUGUAACGUUAAUGUUGUCACUAGUCACAAUGCCAAACUUUCCUAAUGAGCUAGCUAAUGAUAACAUAAAGGUGAGCUGCAUACAGUGACUUGACAUGCGGUUAAACAUUGUCUCUUGAGCCAGAUGGUUUACCACAAUCACAUGAGCCAGAUGGUUAAAUUGGGCAAAUUGUUCAGAUGGACAUGGUAUAUCGCAGAAUUGUAAGCUUAAUGAUUCGCUUGCCCACACCAUUUCUUAGCUAGCACUUUUACUCCUUUUGUUUCAUUAAAACACAUUCCUCUUUUCCAUUCAACACUUUCACAUUAAACACAUCACAUCAACAAACUACAAACAACCUUUAUUAACAUUAAAUGUCCAUCUUGUCAAUUCUUGAACUCUGACCUUGGCCUGGGCCCUACAUCCCCCACCCAUCCGGCUACUUGUCACCUCCCAAUCUGCCUGCAUGCUCCUCCUCACCUCCUUACAUUUUUAACUGCUCCUUGUCAUGUCCCUUAAUGGCUUCUCCUCCUCACCUAGCUAGCUGCUUCUCGUGAUUUUCCCAACAUACCAAGUUAGAUUUGAUGUUGCAUAAUUCCAAUUUCUACAGUGAUGUUACAUCUGUACAAAAGGACAUGAUCAAGUUAUUCUAAGUCUCAGUUAUUUUAAAUAAUAAUAAAUUCCAUCAUUUUGCUAUAUUGUGUGUUCUGCUCUCCAUCCACGAACACAGCAAUCCAGCCACUAUAGUAUAGUGAGCUAUAACUACUGACUAGCUUCACAGCUACUAUAUUAAAGUGAGCUAUGGCUACUGGUUACCUUCACAGCUACUAUAGUAUAGUGAGCUAUGGCUAUUGGCUAGCUUCACAGCUACUAUAUUAAAGUGAGCUAUGGCUACUGGUUACCUUCACAGCUACUAUAGUAUAGUGAGCUAUAACUACUGACUAGCUUCACAGCUACUAUAGUAUAGUGAGCUAUGGCUACUGGUUACCUUCACAGCUACUAUAGUAUAGUGAGCUAUGGCUAUUGGCUAGCUUCACAGCUACUAUCCUACAGUGAGCUAUGGCUAUUGGCUA
Molecule: long non-coding RNA, 1876 nt
Organism: Esox lucius (northern pike)
Lineage: Eukaryota; Metazoa; Chordata; Actinopteri; Esociformes; Esocidae
Source: Ensembl